UGCCAAGCACGGCUAACAGGUUUGUACCCAACUCCGUCAGGUCCGGAAGGAAGCAGCGGUAAGUAUUUAAUUUGUGUAGCCUCUGCUUGGCUUUU
RNAcentral lists this signal recognition particle RNA (95 nucleotides) under Ignavibacteriota bacterium. RNAcentral's name for it is "Ignavibacteriae bacterium signal recognition particle sRNA small type". It matches the Rfam family "Bacterial small signal recognition particle RNA". Rfam says of the family: The signal recognition particle (SRP) is a universally conserved ribonucleoprotein involved in the co-translational targeting of proteins to membranes. Lineage: Bacteria; Pseudomonadati; Ignavibacteriota. The record is from RNAcentral.